This 2649-nucleotide unclassified non-coding RNA is filed under the name Harpegnathos saltator (Jerdon's jumping ant). RNAcentral describes it as "ras-related protein M-Ras, transcript variant X2". Lineage: Eukaryota; Metazoa; Arthropoda; Insecta; Hymenoptera; Formicidae. The record is from RNAcentral.
GCGUGUAAUUGCAAAAAUAUACAUGCAUGUACACGCACCUAUACAACGCAGUUGUGCGAAACACUACCCACGCACACAUUUGUGUGUAUGUGCGCACGGUACGCAGACUGACAGCUGCCAACACGAGAAGCAGGAGUGGCGGAUCAUGUAAGGAUACUUGUCGUGUCGACGAAACAACUUGCUAUCUCAGUAGCGGUUACACUGCCAAGGGUACAUUAGACAUUUGGCAGGAUAGGUAGACGCAGGAAAAAUAGCGAGCGAAGGAACAGGCGAUUCAAAGGCGGAAUGACACGUCCUCCUAACAAUGACAACCUCAUGACCUUUAAGCUGGUCGUUGUUGGAGAUGGAGGGGUUGGCAAGAGCGCCCUUACUAUACAGUACUUUCAGAAACUGUUUGUCGCUGACUAUGAUCCGACCAUUGAGGAUAGUUACAUCCAACACACAGAGGUGGACGAACAGUGGUGCAUUCUGGAUGUGUUGGAUACAGCUGGUCAGGAGGAAUUUAGUGCCAUGCGCGAGCAGUACAUGCGGACAGGCGACGGAUUCCUUUUGGUAUACUCUGUGACCGACAAGCAGUCGUAUCAAAAUAUCGUCAAUUUUUAUACUCAAAUCCUACGAGUGAAGGACAGGGACGUGUACCCUAUGCUGUUGGUGGCCAAUAAAGUCGAUCUGGUACAUCUAAGGAAGGUCACAGAGGAACAAGGAAGAGAAUUGGCUUAUCGUCUGGGCAUAUCUUAUAUCGAAACUUCUGCCAAAGAUCCACCAUUAAACGUGGACAUCGCAUUUCACGAGGUCAUUCGCACUAUCAGAAACCAACCGCCAAACGAAUUGAAGAAGAAUCAAAGGAAACGACGGCUCUCGAGAAAAUGUAACAUUUUGUAAGUCUCGUGGAAGGAUGGAAGGUGUACGUGUAACUCGCGCGCAGAGAUCAAGGACCACGUUGUUGCCGAGCCAAAAUCGCGCAACGCCUCUAUUACUUCCUCGAGAGAGAGAUUGAGAGAGUGCGUCCUUGUCGCGUCGCGUUGAACUUUCGGCAGAUCCUUUGGAAAGAACGAUUCUCUUCUUCUCCAGUACAUAUAUAGCAACAAUGUCCAGAGUCGGAUAUGUGUCUUGGAAUUGGUAAUUUCACUUUAUUGCCAGUCGGCUAAUUAUCAGCCCGACUCUUUGCAAGAAGGAGACUUUGAGUCACGUACGGUACGACUUGCCAGCCGGCACAAGAACUUAUUUUGCGAAAUCCGAAAGCCUCGGCGAGCCGUCACAUUGGAGCACGCCCGCGAGUAGCGAUCGAUCGGAGGAAGCUAAAGCUGUAACGGGAGAAUCUUUUUACGAGAGAAUGGUCUAUCAGCGGAAGAGAGGACGCGUACGCUUGUCACGAUCUAUAUUUGUCGCUCUUCGUAAACAGCGCCGUGGCGCGUAUAUUUUCCACAUGUACACAUUGCCUGCCGAUGAAGGAUUACAAGUUGAGGUGAGGAAAUCGAAGACCCGCGUGGGUUUAGACGAUGCAGGAAGCUUACGAGACGAAGCUCACGACAACGAGCUGCUGCUGCGCCACGGAGAUCGUAAAUUGGAAGGAAACUAUCGCGGGGGAAAUUCGUACAUUUCGCGUACACAUUCGGGAGCGAGUGCCCAGACCAGUGUUAAUAUUCGUAUUAAUCAUUGUUUGAAACUUGCGGCACCUGAGUUUGGGAUUUGAUGAGAAAUUUAAUUCAAUUUUAAUGGGAUCGCGGCUGUAGGCAACGUCACGUGCAUCGUGGACGAUUCUACUGGGAAAAAAGAAAACAGAUCUGACUCUAAACUCAGAUGCACUUUGCAAGAGAGAUAAGUUUCAAGUAACAAUUAUUAAUGCGGGUCUUCGUGUCGUGCACGAGAGCGGCAGCGAAGGGUGAAUUGGUCCUGGAGAGCAAAAAAUCGAUAGCGUUCACGGUGACACACACACACACAGGCACACACACAGCACACGCGGAUUUCCACAGGCGGAUUAGAGAGAAAAAUUACCCAUGAAGUAGUCAAUAUAUACCGAAGCAUUGUGAUACCGAACACGAGAGAGAGAUAGAGAGAAUUGUAACAGAUGGUUGUGAGAGUUUUCAUCUUGAAAAGCCAACCGAGGUACGCGAGGAGGAAAACGGUUGACUUUCUCUGUCAUAAAUGAUCAAGGAUACAUGGUUUUCUUAGGACAUCGCACUGUGUCGUUCGUCCGAUAUUUCAUUACUAUUAUUAUUGUACCACUGCUACCGCUAUUGUCUAUUACCAUCGUUCGCGUCGCGUCGCACGCGCGGAUGCGUCGCUCUAUCUGUAAGUCCUCGCAAAAUGAAGAAUCACACAGAAUGAACGCACACGAAAAAAUGGACUAUACGUACAAAUAGCAAGAGAAUGAGUAGUAUUAACUGCGAGGAGAUUUUAUCACAAACACAUACACCCACACACACGCACAUUCUAAAACACACAUUCUGUUAUUGCCUUAUGCACAGAUAUAGCUAUGAGAAGUAUAUAUAUUUUAAUUGAAAAUGGACAAAACAAGAAUUCCCCCUCCACUCCGCCCUGAGAGAAGAGAUAGUUAUAUACAAAUAUAUACAAAUAUAUACAGGGUGCUAAAUUUCAAGCGUAACAGGUAAAAAAUCUCGAAAACUACGAAAGAUAUUAAAAAAAGCU